GGCUCUCUGAAGAUGAAGAUCCGGUGAUCACACAGGUCAACCAAAGAAUUGCUGAUGUCACUGGUCUAGAAUUGGAGACAGCAGAGGAGCUCCAGAUAGCAAAUUAUGGAAUUGGAGGCCAAUAUGAGCCACAUUAUGACUCAAAGUUGACAAAUGACUCAGACUUUCAACGCAGAGGAGGCCGAAUUUCUACUGUCCUAAUUUAUUUGAGUGAUGUGGACAUUGGUGGGGCAACAGUGUUCCCUAUCAUUGGUGCGGCACUUCAGCCAAAGAGAGGUACAGCAGUGCUGUGGUUUAACCAUCUAAGAAAUGGAAAUGAAGAUGCCAGGACUUUACAUGCAGCAUGUCCGGUGUUUGUAGGC
Molecule: non-coding RNA, 362 nt
Organism: Pimephales promelas (fathead minnow)
Lineage: Eukaryota; Metazoa; Chordata; Actinopteri; Cypriniformes; Leuciscidae
Source: RefSeq, a predicted model, not a curated record